GUCCAUUAAUACCUGACAAUGGUAACCUCGAAGGGCAUUAAAUCGCUUAUACCAUGGCCAUGUUGGUUACCUAU
This is a long non-coding RNA of Sander lucioperca (pikeperch), 74 nucleotides long. RefSeq lists it as uncharacterized. NCBI's taxonomy places the organism in Eukaryota, Metazoa, Chordata, Actinopteri, Perciformes, Percidae. The record is from RefSeq and is a predicted model, not a curated record. The transcript has 3 exons.